RNAcentral lists this long non-coding RNA (213 nucleotides) under Mytilus galloprovincialis (Mediterranean mussel). The record is from RNAcentral. Lineage: Eukaryota; Metazoa; Mollusca; Bivalvia; Mytilida; Mytilidae.
AAAAGUACAACUACUUUUGAGUGUUCACAUGUUCGAUGCAAAUAGAGGCGUCCACAAUGUAUUGAAAAGAAAGCAACACAUCUUAAAGCUGUACCCAAGGAAGUUACAAAGCCAGAAUCAAAAGAGAUGUUGACCUCCACAAAAUACAAUUUCAGCAUUUAAAUUAUAUUAUCAGUGUUAAAUGCCGUCAGUUAAUUGAUGAAUGUGAUUUAU